RNAcentral lists this ribosomal RNA (876 nucleotides) under uncultured crenarchaeote. RNAcentral's name for it is "bacterial SSU rRNA". It matches the Rfam family "Archaeal small subunit ribosomal RNA", at positions 21 to 903 of the family's 1478-position model. Lineage: Archaea; Thermoproteati; Thermoproteota. The record is from RNAcentral.
ACCUGACUGCUAUCGGAUUGAUACUAAGCCAUGCGAGUCAUUGUAGCAAUACAAGGCAUACGGCUCAGUAACGCGUAGUCAACCUAACCUAUGGACGGGAAUAACCUCGGGAAACUGAGAAUAAUGCCCGAUAGAACACUAUACCUGGAAUGGUUUGUGUCCCUAAUGAUUUAUCGCCAUAGGAUGGGACUGCGGCCUAUCAGUUUGUUGGUGAGGUAAUGGCCCACCAAGACUAUUACAGGUACGGGCUCUGAGAGGAGUAGCCCGGAGAUGGGUACUGAGACACGGACCCAGGCCCUAUGGGGCGCAGCAGGCGAGAAAACUUUGCAAUGUGCGAAAGCACGACAAGGUUAAUCCGAGUGAUUUGUGCUAAACGAAUCUUUUGUUAGUCCUAGAAACACUAACGAAUAAGGGGUGGGCAAGUUCUGGUGUCAGCCGCCGCGGUAAAACCAGCACCUCAAGUGGUCAGGAUGAUUAUUGGGCCUAAAGCAUCCGUAGCCGGCUCUGUAAGUUUUCGGUUAAAUCUGUACGCUUAACGUACAGGCUGCCGGGAAUACUGCAAAGCUAGGGAGUGGGAGAGGUAGACGGUACUCGGUAGGAAGUGGUAAAAUGCUUUGAUCUAUCGAUGACCACCUGUGGCGAAGGCGGUCUACCAGAACACGUCCGACGGUGAGGGAUGAAAGCUGGGGGAGCAAACCGGAUUAGAUACCCGGGUAGUCCCAGCUGUAAACUAUGCAAACUCAGUGAUGCAUUGGCUUGUGGCCAAUGCAGUGCUGCAGGGAAGCCGUUAAGUUUGCCGCCUGGGAAGUACGUACGCAAGUAUGAAACUUAAAGGAAUUGGCGGGGGAGCACCACAAGGGGUGAAGCCUGCGGUUC